RNAcentral lists this ribosomal RNA (474 nucleotides) under uncultured bacterium. RNAcentral describes it as "bacterial SSU rRNA". It matches the Rfam family "Bacterial small subunit ribosomal RNA", at positions 335 to 800 of the family's 1533-position model. The record is from RNAcentral.
ACUCCUACGGGAGGCAGCAGUGGGGAAUAUUGCACAAUGGGCGCAAGCCUGAUGCAGCCAUGCCGCGUGUAUGAAGAAGGCCUUCGGGUUGUAAAGUACUUUCAGCAGUGAGGAAGGUGGGUAUGUUAAUAGCAUACUCAUUUGACGUUAGCUGCAGAAGAAGCACCGGCUAACUCCGUGCCAGCAGCCGCGGUAAUACGGAGGGUGCGAGCGUUAAUCGGAAUUACUGGGCGUAAAGCGCAUGCAGGUGGUUUGUUAAGUCAGAUGUGAAAGCCCGGGGCUCAACCUCGGAAUUGCAUUUGAAACUGGCAAACUAGAGUACUGGUAGAGGGGGGUAGAAUUUCAGGUGUAGCGGUGAAAUGCGUAGAGAUCUGAAGGAAUACCGGUGGCGAAGGCGGCCCCCUGGACAGAUACUGACACUCAGAUGCGAAAGCGUGGGGAGCAAACAGGAUUAGAUACCCUGGUAGGCUGAGC